RNAcentral lists this ribosomal RNA (365 nucleotides) under Bacillus cereus. RNAcentral's name for it is "bacterial SSU rRNA". It matches the Rfam family "Bacterial small subunit ribosomal RNA", at positions 37 to 381 of the family's 1533-position model. The record is from RNAcentral. Lineage: Bacteria; Bacillati; Bacillota; Bacilli; Caryophanales; Bacillaceae.
GAUGACGCAUGGCGGCGUGCCUAAUACAUGCAAGUCGAGCGAAUGGAUUAAGAGCUUGCUCUUAUGAAGUUAGCGGCGGACGGGUGAGUAACACGUGGGUAACCUGCCCAUAAGACUGGGAUAACUCCGGGAAACCGGGGCUAAUACCGGAUAACAUUUUGAACCGCAUGGUUCGAAAUUGAAAGGCGGCUUCGGCUGUCACUUAUGGAUGGACCCGCGUCGCAUUAGCUAGUUGGUGAGGUAACGGCUCACCAAGGCAACGAUGCGUAGCCGACCUGAGAGGGUGAUCGGCCACACUGGGACUGAGACACGGCCCANACUCCUACGGGAGGCAGCAGUANGGAAUCUUCCNCAAUGNACGANAG